UAGCCGUAAACGAUACUCGCUAGGUGUCGGCCACGGUGCGACCGUUGUCGGUGCCGUAGGGAAGCCGUGAAGCGAGCCACCUGGGAAGUACGGUCGCAAGGCUGAAACUUAAAGGAAUUGGCGGGGGAGCACAACAACGGGUGGAGCUUGCGGUUUAAUUGGAUUCAACGCCGGAAAUCUUACCGGGACCGACAGCAACAUGAUGGCCAGGUUGAUGACCUUGCUUGACAAGCUGAGAGGAGGUGCAUGGCGUGUGACUGU
RNAcentral lists this ribosomal RNA (261 nucleotides) under uncultured archaeon. RNAcentral's name for it is "partial 16S ribosomal RNA". It matches the Rfam family "Archaeal small subunit ribosomal RNA", at positions 748 to 1008 of the family's 1478-position model. The record is from RNAcentral.